Long non-coding RNA from Amphibalanus amphitrite, 886 nucleotides. RefSeq lists it as uncharacterized. Lineage: Eukaryota; Metazoa; Arthropoda; Thecostraca; Balanomorpha; Balanidae. The transcript is spliced from 4 exons. The record is from RefSeq and is a predicted model, not a curated record.
GGCGUCGCAGUGCGUCGCUGUGCGUGGUGCGUGUCCCUGGUGCGUGUCUCGUGGUUGCGCGCGCAGUGCGGUUUCAAACCUUUCGAAGGGGGCUCGCGACUCGCUGUCUGCGGUCGCAGCAAGGCCUGCCAGUGCUGGUAGACAGCUUAGAUACAGUGUGUAUUAAAAGGCAGUGAUAUGAAGCCUUGGUUUGGUCUAAAGCAGGCUACGGUGAACAGUGAGCCAAGGGCCUGUCCUUGCCCUGCGAAAAAGAGAGUGAGAAGUGCUUGCAGGUGUGGACAUUGCGGAUGGAAAGGCACGGAGCAAAGCAUUUACAAGCAUACGAAAACAAGACAUCCUGGCCAGCCUGUGCUAAAAGCGUUCAACAACAGUCAUUUUGGCCCUGGCAGGCGCUUUGACUGGACCCAAAGAGGCUCGGCACAUGUCACUGUUGCUGUGCCACUUUCUUCAAUCUCAGGACAACGUGGUGCACCAUCCAGUGCGCCUCCCUCUGGGACGAGUCCUGCCUCGUCAGAGAGGGAGGCUAUGGACGAUCCUACCACUCCUACGGACGAUCAUCCAACCACAACUGGAACUGCAGCACCUGAUUUGGAACCUGAGCAACGUGAAGCUGUAGUCCAUAUCUCCGCUGGUGAACCUUCUAAAGAAAGGAGUUAUCGCCAACAUCAACCAAGCUCUUCCACAGACAUCGGCCACCAGCGACAUACCUCUGACAAGACAGGUCUCGGAGUGUCGGUGGAGUGCAGACUACGACGCAUCGAGGAGAGCCUGCUAGAAGUGAAACAGGCGCUAAAGGGUGACCAGCGAGAGUCACGUGUGUGUGCCGACAAGGACACAGAGGCGCGCAUUAACUCGGCACGUGACAUGGAUUCUCUUCUUGAGGCGA